UCGUGAGAUGUUGGGUUAAGUCCCGCAACGAGCGCAACCUUGUGUUUAGUUGCAAACAGGUCAAGCUGUGCACUCUAGACAGACUGCCGUGGACAACACGGAGGAAGGUGGGGAUGACGUCAAAUCAUCAUGCCCCUUAUGAUCUGGGCUACACACGUGCUACAAUGGCCGGUACAACGGGCAGCGAAGGAGCGAUCCGGAGCGAAUCCUAAAAAGCCGGUCCCAGUUCGGAUUGCAGGCUGAAACUCGCCUACAUGAAGUUGGAGUUGCUAGUAAUCGCGAAUCAGAAUGUCGCGGUGAAUGCGUUCCCGGGUCUU
RNAcentral lists this ribosomal RNA (317 nucleotides) under uncultured Fusibacter sp. RNAcentral's name for it is "bacterial SSU rRNA". It matches the Rfam family "Bacterial small subunit ribosomal RNA", at positions 1065 to 1382 of the family's 1533-position model. Lineage: Bacteria; Bacillati; Bacillota; Clostridia; Eubacteriales; Fusibacteraceae. The record is from RNAcentral.